AUUGAACGCUGGCGGCAGGCCUAACACAUGCAAGUCGAACGGUAACAGGAAGAAGCUUGCUUAUUUGCUGACGAGUGGCGGACGGGUGAGUAAUGUCUGGGAAACUGCCUGAUGGAGGGGGAUAACUACUGGAAACGGUAGCUAAUACCGCAUAACGUCGCAAGACCAAAGAGGGGGACCUUCGGGCCUCUUGCCAUCGGAUGUGCCCAGAUGGGAUUAGCUAGUAGGUGGGGUAACGGCUCACCUAGGCGACGAUCCCUAGCUGGUCUGAGAGGAUGACCAGCCACACUGGAAGUGAGACACGGUCCAGACUCCUACGGGAGGCAGCAGUGGGGAAUAUUGCACAAUGGGCGGAAGCCUGAUGCAGCCAUGCCGCGUGUAUGAAGAAGGCCUUCGGGUUGUAAAGUACUUUCAGCGGGGAGGAAGGGAGUAAAGUUAAUACCUGUGCUCAUUGACGUUACCCGCAGAAGAAGCACCGGCUAACUCCGUG
RNAcentral lists this ribosomal RNA (490 nucleotides) under uncultured bacterium. Its description in RNAcentral is "partial 16S ribosomal RNA". It matches the Rfam family "Bacterial small subunit ribosomal RNA", at positions 30 to 507 of the family's 1533-position model. The record is from RNAcentral.